This 497-nucleotide ribosomal RNA is filed under the name uncultured bacterium. RNAcentral describes it as "partial 16S ribosomal RNA". It matches the Rfam family "Bacterial small subunit ribosomal RNA", at positions 28 to 507 of the family's 1533-position model. The record is from RNAcentral.
GAUGAACGCUGGCGGCGUGCCUAAUACAUGCAAGUCGAGCGAACGGACGAGAAGCUUGCUUUUCUGAUGUUAGCGGCGGACGGGUGAGUAACACGUGGAUAGCCUACCUAUAAGACUGGGAUAACUUCGGGAAACCGGAGCUAAUACCGGAUAAUAUUUUGAACCGCAUGGUUCAAAAGUGAAAGACGGUCUUGCUGUCACUUAUAGAUGGAUCCGCGCUGCAUUGGCUAGUUGGUAAGGUAACGGCUUACCAAGGCAACGAUGCAUAGCCGACCUGAGAGGGUGAUCGGCCACACUGGAACUGAGACACGGUCAAGACUCCUACGGGAGGCAGCAGUAGGGAAUCUUCCGCAAUGGGCGAAAGCCUGACGGAGCAACGCCGCGUGAGUGAUGAAGGUCUUCGGAUCGUAAAACUCUGUUAUUAGGGAAGAACAUAUGUGUAAGUAACUGUGCACAGCUUGACGGUACCUAAUCAGAAAGCCACGGCUAACUACGUG